UACAGAGACUGCAAGCGUUAUUCGGAUUCACUGGGCGUAAAGGGUGCGCAGGCGGCCGUGUGUGUGAGGCGUGAAAGCCCGGGGCUCAACCCCGGAAUUGCACCUCAAACUACAUGGCUAGAGCAUUGGAGAGGGAAGCGGAAUUCACGGUGUAGCAGUGAAAUGCGUAGAUAUCGUGAGGAACACCAGAGGCGAAGGCGGCUUCCUGGACAAUUGCUGACGCUCAGGCACGAAAGCGUGGGGAGCAAACAGG
This 253-nucleotide ribosomal RNA is filed under the name uncultured bacterium. Its description in RNAcentral is "partial 16S ribosomal RNA". It matches the Rfam family "Bacterial small subunit ribosomal RNA", at positions 524 to 776 of the family's 1533-position model. The record is from RNAcentral.